GAAUGAGUUUUGUUGCUAGCUGCUUUCCUUUUCUUUCUUACCGUCUUUCAUUACAGGCAGCAUCUUCUCCAGUUUGAAAAUACAUUUUGGAGCUCUAAUUUCAGGGUAUUAUGGGGACAGCAGUGCUAUAUUUUUGGUAUCAGCAGCAUAGUGUUUGCACAGUGUGAUUAUGGGUGACCUCAAUGACUCAUUAUUCAUGAGAGUAUUCGCUUAACAUGCAGGGCAGGGAUGUUAUUACAGGGUUCACAAAUCCUUAGAAAUUAAGAAUUGCCUGUUAAAUUAUGAAAAGAUAACUUGCCUAAAUGCGCAGUGCCAGACUUGCAAAAUAGGUACGUGUGUGUGUGUGUGUGAGAGAGUGAGAGAGAGAGAGAGAGAGAGAGAGAGAGAGAGAGAGAGAGCGCGAAUGUGUGUGUGAGACAGGACCUGGUUUGUGUUACAGGAUCUCUUCCACACUAGCCUUUAUUUUCACAAUGCAGUUGUUUCCUUUAUCACCCUCAUAGAUGCAAAAGUGAUCAUGAGGACGUGGCAGAGGCAGGCAAGAGACAGAGGGCUUGCGAAAAAAAACCUGAACAACAGAACUGGUCAACAGGGUUGCUGAGAUCUUGUCACAGGAGUGCGAGCCACCUUCUGCAUGAAACCUGAGAAAGACGGCACGCUGGUGUUAAUGAGGAUCUCACCCGGCAGUGCCAACAAACAGCCCGCCUUUCCAAAACUGACAAGUCAUCAGAAGACAGCUCAGCAAUGCGGCCCAUCUCAGAACUUCAGCACCUCAGCCACCUCUGCUGCACAGGCAGGGACAGACACUAUAUUUCACAUGGAAAAUAUGUAUUAGCAAGUGUGCGUUCCCUCCGCGACCCUGACCAGGACAAGCACGUGUAGAUAAUGGAUGUAUGCAUUUCAUAUGUACUACCGGCACAUGCCCGGUUCUUUUUUCAUAUUGUUUUAACCUCCGUGCCACCUCAAAGAAAUGGAAAAUGCUGCAAUAUAUUGAAAAGAAAUCUAUUACAAUCAGAAAAGGUGUUGCAGCACUUCACAAUCUAUUGACUAAAACAGCCUUUGUUCGCAUUUUGGGAUAUAAUGUUUGCAUAUGAAAAUGCAUGUUGUCUAUCAUUCAACUUUGUAUCUCAACUUCUGUAGUCACAUAAUUUUGCAAUAAAAAUAUUCCUCUACAAUGCCAGAGAGAAAAUGCCAAUAUAAUUACCAUUGAAAAUGCCUAAUGGAUUUUAUUCUUCAUAUUACAUAAAAAAUUUUAAAAAUCAAAAAACCCACUGCAGAUGCACAGUUAAUAACGGAAAAAGUACAGUAUAUUGACACUUCUCUUGCAAAAUAAAAAGCACUCCA
This is a long non-coding RNA of Anguilla rostrata (American eel), 1341 nucleotides long. RefSeq lists it as uncharacterized. The record is from RefSeq and is a predicted model, not a curated record. The transcript has 3 exons. Lineage: Eukaryota; Metazoa; Chordata; Actinopteri; Anguilliformes; Anguillidae.